RNAcentral lists this long non-coding RNA (306 nucleotides) under Nicotiana benthamiana. Its description in RNAcentral is "long non-coding RNA (NBEN_LNC002837)". The record is from RNAcentral. Lineage: Eukaryota; Viridiplantae; Streptophyta; Magnoliopsida; Solanales; Solanaceae.
UACGAUGUAUCACUUCUCUCUCCUUUUUUUUUUCUUUUUUUCUUUUUGUAAUUUCUCACUAGUGAUUGGUAUUUGUAUUAGAGCCUAGCUAAAUUCAAAGUAGCGACGGAACAUAACAAAGCUACUAUAUCCUUGUUUGGUGGAGUACCACUUUAUCAUUCGUUAAAAUAGACGCACCCACUUUAAUGAACUUUCUGCUACAGUACUAUUUCAGAUCUCAAAUAUUUUUUUAGUAAAUUUCAUACAUUACCCUUCACUUUCUUCUAUCUGAGCUAAAUCUCUUUUUCUCGCUCUCUUCAAAUCAAG